GCCUACGGCCAUACCACCCUGAAAGCGCCCGAUCUCGUCUGAUCUCGAAGCUAAGCAGGGACGGGCCUGGUUAGUACCUGGAUGGGAGACCGCCUGGGAAUACCAGGUGUUGUAGGCU
This 118-nucleotide ribosomal RNA is filed under the name Xenopus tropicalis (tropical clawed frog). The record is from RNAcentral. Lineage: Eukaryota; Metazoa; Chordata; Amphibia; Anura; Pipidae.